UAUUCAGUGGGGAAGCAGCAGGGACUCGGAGGUUCGCUGGGGCUGCUCGGGUGGUACGGGGAGCUCCUGUCCCUUGGCACUUGCCGGCAGUACAACAUGCCGUAGUAACACAAGAAGAAUUAAGUUGCUCAGAUGCACGCCAGCGCGUAGAAACAACUGUCUGUACAGUCACCGUGCCUCGGCCAGCGUACCUGUCUGCUGCACGCCCUGCACACGGGUAGCUGUUGUUAUGCUCGUGACUUGGCAUUCACUGCUGCCCUUUGUGAGUCUGCUCGGGAGGCAUGGAUCCCUAUCCUCUUGUGAUUCUUUGAAAAGAUGGGCUAUUUCAAAGUAACCGUCAAGACGGAGACUUUUCUUAAUUGGUCACCGAGAUUUUCGGCUCGUAGCCUGCAGCUGCCGUGGGGAUAUCAUUUCGUCACUGUGGGAGCGAAGGCGAUCGAGCUGAGGGCACACGGGAGAGGCAGCCCGUGCGACUGUCAGCGUGAGGAGGAAUCAUGUUUGCGAGAGAAUGUCUCUGCUAAGGUGCCAUCCCCGCUCUGGAAAGCAGGUCCACACGUUCAGAUGUGAAGCUGGAAAUGAAACACAUCUGGAUAUCCAAAAAUGACAACAGACUUUUAUUUGCUAUUUUUGGUAUACAACAAAAGCUUUGUAUCUUGCUAAUUGAACAUAUGGGCUCUCAGUUGCUUUUUUCCCCCUGCUAAACUCCACUUUUCCAUGUGUCAUCAUACGAUUCCAACAUUUGAUCUGUCGAGUCCAUCUCGGCCAUGUGUUUGUUGUAAUCUGCUACACAUGUAGGCUUGUUUUCGUGUGCGUCCUGACCUCCAGUGAGAGCUGCAGUUGUUUCCAUCAUGGAUAGUGUUGAGGAGUUACACAUCCUUUUUAUCAGUGUAUUUGGCCACCGGCAGCUCCUCGCAGUGUGGAUCAGGGAUCCUGCCAAGCCUCUGAAAGCUCAGUGUUUAGGGUAGCCAUAUCUGUUUGUAUUGUGAUACCAGAUGCUGGUUUUUUUCAAUGUAACAGAAUAAGAAGGGAGAACUUCCCCAAAAUAGAAAAUAUCCACAUAAGUAAAAUCCAGCGUCUCACCGAGGGAAGCUGAGGGUCAGCGUUAGCUAGAGUUGGAGCGUGAGGAAGGGAUGGAGGUGGCUGGCUGGUUGACGGUCAUC
Haliaeetus leucocephalus (bald eagle) is the source of this 1160-nucleotide long non-coding RNA. RefSeq lists it as uncharacterized. Lineage: Eukaryota; Metazoa; Chordata; Aves; Accipitriformes; Accipitridae. The record is from RefSeq and is a predicted model, not a curated record. The transcript has 4 exons.